CGGCGGACGGGUGAGUAAUGCCUAGGGAAUCUGACCUGGUAGUGGGGGACAACGUUUCGAAAGGAACGCUAAUACCGGAUACGUCCUACGGGAGAAAGUGGGGGAUCUUCGGACCUCACGCUAUCAGAUGAGCCUAGGUCGGAUUAGCUAGUUGGUGAGGUAAAGGCUCACCAAGGCGACGAUCCGUAACUGGUCUGAGAGGAUGAUCAGUCACACUGGAACUGAGACACGGUCCAGACUCCUACGGGAGGCAGCAGUGGGGAAUAUUGGACAAUGGGCGAAAGCCUGAUCCAGCCAUGCCGCGUGUGUGAAGAAGGUCUUCGGAUUGUAAAGCACUUUAAGUUGGGAGGAAGGGCAGUAAGUUAAAUACCUUGCUGUUUUGACGUUACCAACAGAAUAAGCACCGGCUAACUUCGCGCCAGCAGCCGCGGUAAUACGAAGGGUGCAAGCGUUAAUCGGAAUUACUGGGCGUAAAGCGCGCGUAGGUGGUUCGUUAAGUUGGAUGUGAAAGCCCCGGGCUCAACCUGGGAACUGCAUCCAAAACUGGCGAGCUAGAGUAUGGCAGAGGGUGGUGGAAUUUCCUGUGUAGCGGUGAAAUGCGUAGAUAUAGGAAGGUACACCAGUGGCGAAGGCGACCACCUGGGCUAAUACUGACACUGAGGUGCGAAAGCGUGGGGAGCAAACAGGAUUAGAUACCCUGGUAGUCCACGCCGUAAACGAUGUCGACUAGCCGUUGGGAUCCUUGAGAUCUUAGUGGCGCAGCUAACGCAUUAAGUCGACCGCCUGGGGAGUACGGCCGCAAGGUUAAAACUCAAAUGAAUGACGGGGGCCCGCACAAGCGGUGGAGUAUGUGGUUUAAUUCGAAGCAACGCGAAGAACCUUACCA
This 886-nucleotide ribosomal RNA is filed under the name uncultured bacterium. RNAcentral describes it as "bacterial SSU rRNA". It matches the Rfam family "Bacterial small subunit ribosomal RNA", at positions 96 to 976 of the family's 1533-position model. The record is from RNAcentral.